This is a long non-coding RNA of Apteryx owenii (little spotted kiwi), 2473 nucleotides long. The record is from Ensembl. Lineage: Eukaryota; Metazoa; Chordata; Aves; Apterygiformes; Apterygidae.
CCCCCCCCGGCCAUUUAAAAGCUAACCUGUUCCCGGAUUUGUCUGGGGAAAAUCCCACCUUUUCUCUCAUUGCAUGAUCCUGCUCUCUCUUUGCUUAACUGUAGUCAACUUUUCUGGCUUCCCGGACGCCAGUAUUCAACAGCAAAAAUAAUCACCUGCCUCUUUUUACGCUCUGUAGCUUGACUGUCCUGUGAAAUAAGUUGCGAAAGUCAAAAUUAACAGGACUCCCUAUGUCUGUAACAAUAUCUUCUCCUUAACUCUCUGUGCCCUCGCACACUGUCCUCACUUUUGUUGACUUCCACUUCUGGGCUGACUCCAAAUCCCUGUCUUCUACUCUAUCUAAAAAAUUAUUUGCAUAUAUCAAUAUUACCUUGGUUUAAAUCCUGUCCUGUUUUUUCUUUCUCAGGUCAGUUACUCCUGCUUUCUAGUGUUAUCUCUGAUUUCUCCAGAAGUGGAAUUUAUCCUGCUACUUACAGAUGAAUAGCAGUGCUUCCAUUAAGCUGAUGCAGUCUGGCGCAAGAUCUGCAGAAGUGAGUCCUCUCUGGAGACUGCAGUGCUACUCAUCACUUGCUGGAAGGUGUUUCUGCACCACAUUCAUCCUAAAGGACUGGAGCUCGGACUUGACACUGAAACUUGUUCAAUUUUUUUUUUUUUGGUGUCUUAUUUCGAUAAAGGUUGACCACUGAGAUAGUCCAGGUUUCUAUCUGAAGCAACAAAAGGGCAGCCAUACCGCUCUGUGAGCAGGCUCUCUGAUGUUGUCAGGGGCUUUAUCUGUAAUGCAGGGUAUGUAGAUGCAUCUGGGCUAGGUCUAAAUGGGUUCAGCUGCCUGUGCAACCACAGAGCCCAGUGAAGAACAGGAGCUCACCAGCCUCCCCAGCUGAAAAUGCUCUAUGCUGCUGCAGUUUCGGUGCUAACAGUAAGCAAGUCCAUUGUGAUCUUAAGAUCCUAGUCUUGCUAUUGCUGCUUAAUUGUUCUGUCCUUCACUUCAGCUGGGAAUGCUGACUGAGUUAAAACAAUGCCAGGAUGAUGGGUUUCGAUACAAAAUUAUUCCUCGUAACAGGAACUAGCAACACAGGUCUCCAUGCAAGGAUUUUUCUGCAGUGCCAUGAGUGAGUGUCUUAAGCUUCAGAUCACCCCAGCUCACCACUUCCGGAGCUGUCAGAUCUGGGCCCCGCAGUGUAGGAUCUGGCAUGAUCAGUGGCUAGAAUUCACACCCAGAUGCUUAGCUGAUGUUUACCAAAGACUGGAGCAGUUUAUAAUUGAUAAGAAAUUCACAUAACUACAGGUGUGAAGAAAAGAAUGAGCAAAUGAUACAAUUUACGCUUCCACGUGUGCAUGCAGUCUUCAUGGCAGAACAAUUCCUCUGAAGCGUCUCAGAUUGCCCAUUGCUAGAGACAGGCCUCACUGGAGCAAUUAUGUUAGUCAUAAUGACAGAUACUCCAAUGCCCUCAAUUUAAAUCCUUUUCAUAGUGCUGAAUUACAGCUUGACAGCAGAGAUCUCAUGACACACUCCUGUUUCUGAUUCUCCACCUGCCUCGUGACAACUGUAUUGCUUGGUUACAUGAAAAAAACAACAUCAUUGCCUAACAGGAAGACAAAAUGACAGUAAACUUACUUUUAUGCAUUCUUUGGAUUCUUUGCCAACUCCCAUUUGUUUUCUGUAUUUUUUAUUUCUUCUUCUUACAGGAUUUUACAUUUUUUGGGACUGCAUCUUCUCAUUGCUUGCAAUUCCCCACUGCUCUGAUGUGAUCACUUUCUGGUUUGAAAUUUAUAUCUGUUUGCUGCUAGAUGUUAAAAUCCAAUGACAUCCUUAGCAUUUUAUGAGAAUACAAUCUGCACCAGUGAAACACCUCCCUAACACCCAAAGUAAGUUUAAGGUAGUUGUCUAAGGUAUGGCAGGAUGCUUGCUUAUUUUAGUUUUGUUGACAAAAAAAGAAAAAAUCUAGGAAGUUUCCGCCUUGGGAAUUGAGUUCUUAUUAUCUGGUAACAGGAAUGCAUGGAGACUCUCUUUUUUACCACAGUGAGACAAAAUACCUGGAGCCUGAGCACCUAGAACUAGGAUAGGAAGGAUGUACCACACUGUUCUGAAGACUGGAGAUACUGAACAUAGUUUAUAUUUUGACAAUGAAAUCACAGGUUAACAUAAGUACUUUAUCAUAUACCCAAGGUGUGCCAUUUUCCCAUGGCAUAUUGUAGCUUCGUGUCAACUGGUUGUCUAUGAAGAAGUUGUAUGAAUCACCUUCUGGCUGUGUCUGUCUUUGUUCUUUCAGUACAGAGAAAGCACAGGUUAUGAGCUUAUACCAUCUAUAGACUAUAUCUAAGGUUAGGUAAAAUGCAUUCUGCCCUCAGAAUAGUCAAAUAUCAGAAAAGAUUUCAAAUGUUCCCUUCUUUCUUCCUCCAAAGCAUUACUAAAAAUCUAGGUAGUAAUUCUUGUGGAAUUAUUUGGUAUAAUAAACAUUCAUACUUGAAAGCA